GAGGGCAUAGCUCAGUGGUAGAGCGCUUGCUUAGCAUGCACAAGGUCUGGGUUCAAUCCUCAGUGCCCCCA
This 71-nucleotide transfer RNA is filed under the name Camelus bactrianus (Bactrian camel). It matches the Rfam family "tRNA". Rfam says of the family: Transfer RNA (tRNA) molecules are approximately 80 nucleotides in length. Their secondary structure includes four short double-helical elements and three loops (D, anti-codon, and T loops). Further hydrogen bonds mediate the characteristic L-shaped molecular structure. tRNAs have two regions of fundamental functional importance: the anti-codon, which is responsible for specific mRNA codon recognition, and the 3' end, to which the tRNAs corresponding amino acid is attached (by aminoacyl-tRNA synthetases). tRNAs cope with the degeneracy of the genetic code in two manners: having more than one tRNA (with a specific anti-codon) for a particular amino acid; and 'wobble' base-pairing, i.e. permitting non-standard base-pairing at the 3rd anti-codon position. RNAcentral also lists the same sequence under 2 other names. Lineage: Eukaryota; Metazoa; Chordata; Mammalia; Artiodactyla; Camelidae. The record is from Rfam by way of RNAcentral.